AGGAAAGGCCAUGUAAGGACACAGGGAAAAGUUGCCAAUCUACAGGCCAAGAGAAGAGGUCUACCAGAAUUCAGUUCUGAUGGCACCUUGAUCUUCAUCUACUAACCUCCAGAAUGAGAGAGACACAGCAAGACAGGGAACACAAGCAGGGGGAGUGGAAGUGGGAGAAGCAGGCUUCGUGCCGAGCAAGGAGCCAGAUGCGGGACUCGAUCCCAGGACCCCAGGAUCGUGACCUGAGCUGAAGGUAGAUGCAUAACAGACUGAGCCACCCAGGCGCCCUGCUCUGAUGAACACACACCAGUGGAGGACGAUGAGCCAAAGAAAAGCACCAGUUCAGCUUCUACUUCAGAAGAAGAAAAGAAGAAGAGGAAGAAGUCUAAUCAUUCAAAAGAGAGGUCCAAGAAAAAGAGAAAGAAGAAAUCCUCUAAAAGAAAACACAAGAAGUACUCUGAUGACAGCGACAGUGACUCUGACUCUGACUCAGACUCCAGUGCAUCCUCUUAGCCCGAGAACGACUGUCUCCUCAGUCUUCCAUGUUCUUUCUCUUGCUUCUGUGACUUGAUACAGAGGCCAUCUGCCUGCAGCGCCAGUCUCUCCCUGCAUACUGCUUGGCUUACUCUCCUCAACAGUGGGCAUGCAGUACUUUCGUAAUAAAACUGAUUUUGUUUUAUUUUUACUUUUUAAAAAAAUUUUAUUUAUUUAUUUGACUGAGAGAGCAUGCAAACAGGGGGAGCAGCAGGCAGAGGGAGAAGCAGGCUCCUCGCUGAGCAGGGGGCCCAACAUGGAGCUCAAUUCCAGAACUCUGGGAUCAGGACCUGAGCCAAAGGCUGACACUUAACAAACUGAGCCACCCAGGUGCCCCAAAAGAAAUGAUUUUUUUUUAAAAGAUUUUAGUUAUUUGACAGAGAGAGUGAGUGAGCAUGAGCAGGGGGAGCAGCAGGCAGAGGCAGAGGGAGAAGCAGGCUCCCAACUAAGCAGGGGAACCCGAUGUAGGGCUCAAUCCCAGGACCCCAGGAUCAUGACCUGAGCUGAAGGCAGACACUUAACUGACCGACUGAGUCACCUAGGUGCCCCAGUAAGAUUGAUUUGUAAAAGAACUAGCUUAAGAGUCACCAUUCCUGAAGCACCCUUCCCAAGCAAGCUGGCCUGAUUAUGAGACUUCUCUGUACGCCCAGAGUACCCCCAUGCUUCCCUGUAUCACUCCAGAUUCCGAUUAUUUCUUUACCUCUGUCUCCUCUAUUAGACUGAGUGUCCCUGACCCCAAACACAUAAGGUAUUUUUCUUUUCAUUAUGAAAAUACUCCGGAAAGCAAAGGGGAUAGUAUAAGUAAUACCAUAUACUUACAACUCGGGUUAGACAUUUGUUAGCAUUUUGACAUAGUUGUUUCAAAUAUGAGUUUUUUGCUAAGGUAGCCAAAGUAAAUUAUAAAUAUACUUUGAUGCUAAAUAUCUCUAUAUGCAGGUCUUUAAAAAAAAAAGACAUUUUCCUACUUAACUACAAUACCAUUAUCUCACCCAGUAGAUUAGCCCUGGGUGUUCUGGGCCACAGGGACACCAGAAUAACCCAUCUCCAUUUGGGUUCCAGGACACAAAUGACAUUAUAGGGUCCAUCUGAGAUUAUGAUGACAGCAUGACCCACGGCGAUGGGAGUCGUAUUUCUGAGAAUUAAGACUUUCUGAUGUCUCCAACACUUGGCCCUCCUAUUCUUAAACUAAACCUUCAGUUAGAAAAGAGGGAUUUGUUUGGUAUAUUGAAUAGUUAAUGUCUUAAUAGAAAAACACAGCAUACCAAUUUAUAUGCUAUUGAGAUUUUAAACCACAAUGGAGGAGAAGCUUUUUCAUUGUUGCUGAAAUAUCUUAGGAAAGUUCAUACUGCACUCCCUCCAUUCAGCUCACCCUUAGUGAGCGUGAACUAUGUGCCAAGCUCUGGUCUAGGCCUAUUGCUUUGUUUUUAUUCUCCCACUUUUAAUGUUUUUUUUUUUAAAGGUUUUAUUUAUUCAUUUGACAGAGAGAGAGAGAGAGGGAACACAAGCAGGGGGAGUGGGAGAAUGAGAUGUUUUUUCCUUUUGAACAUCUCAUUAAGGAUGAGAUGUUUUCCUAUCUUAGGUUUCCUAUAUUAGGAAAAGAUGUUUCCCUAUCUUUUUAAAAUUUAAAUUCAAUUUAAUUAACAUACAGUGUAUUGCUAGUUUCAGAGGUAGGUUUAGUGACUCAUCACUUACAUACAACACCCAGUGCUCAUUCCAUCAAGUGUCCUCCUUAAUGCCCCUCACCCAGUUACCCCGUCGCACUCCAUCUCCCCUGCCGGCAACCCUCAGUUUAUUCUGUGGUUAAGAGUCUCUUGUGAUUUGUCUCCCUCUCUGUACUCCUAUACUUAUUUUUAUUUUUCCUUCCCUUCCCCAAUGUUCAUCUGUUUUGCUCUUUAAAUUACACAUAAGAGUGAAAUCAUAUGGUAUUUGUCUUUUUCUGAUUGACUUAUUUUAAUUAGCAUAAUACCUUCUAGUUUCAUCCAUGUCACUUGAAAUGGCAAGAUUUCAUUCUUCUUGAUGGUUGAAGUCAUACUCUGUUGUAUGUGUAUGCCACAUUUUCUUUCUCCAUUCGUCAGUGGACAUCUGGGCUCUUUUCGUAUUGUGGCUAUUAAGGACAUUGCUGCUAUAAACAUUGGGGUGCAGGUGCCCCUUCGGAUCACUGCAUUUGUAUUUUUGGGGAAAAUACCCAGUAGUGCGAUUGCUGAAUUGUAAUGUAGCUCUAUUUUUAACUUUGUGAGGAGCCUCCAUGCUGUUUUCCAGAGAGGCUGCACCAGCUUGCAUUCCCACCAACAGUGUAGGAGGGUUCCCCUCUCUCCACAUCCUCUCCAACAUCUGUCGUUUCCUGACUUGUUAAUUUUAGCCAUUCUGACUAGUGUGAGGUGGUAUCUCAUUGUGGGUUUGAUUUGUAUUUCCCUGAUGCCAAAUGAUGUUGAGCAUUUUUCCAUGUGUCUGUUGGUCAUUUGGAUGUCUUCUGCCCAUUUCUUUUUUUUUAAGGAUUUUAUUUGUUUAUUUGACAGAGAUCACAAGUAGGCAGAGAGGCAGGCAGAGAGAGAGGGGGGAAGCAGGCUCCCUGCCGAGCAGAGAGCCCGACUCGGGGCUCUAUCCCAGGAACCCGAGAUCAUGUCCUGAGCCGAAGGCAGAGGCUUUAACCCACGGAGCCACCCAGGCAUCCCUGCCCAUUUCUUGAUGGGAUUCUUUAUUCUUUGGGUGUUGAGUUUGAUAUGUUCUUUAUAGAUUUUGGGUACUAGCCCUUUAUCUGAUAAGGCAUUUGUCAAUAUCUUCUACCAUCCUGUAGGUUGCCUUUUAGUUUUGUUGACUGUUUCCUUUGCUGUGCAGAAUCUUUUUUUUAAAGAUUUUUAUUUAUUUAUUUGACAGAUGGAUAUCACAAGUAGGCAGAGAAGCAGGCAGAGAGAGAAGACGAAGCAGGCUCCCCACUGAGCAGAGAGCCCGAUGCCGGGCCUGAUCCCAGGACCCUGGGAUCAUGACCUGAGCCGAAGGCAGAGGCUUUAAUGCACUGAGCCACCCAAGCGCCCCCAGAAUCUUUUUAUCUUGAUGAAGUCCCAGUAGUCAUUUUUGCUUUUGUUUCUCUUGCCUUUGGAGACAAUGUCAAGCAAGAAGUUGCUGUGGCUGAGAUCGAAGAGGUUGCUGCCUGUGUUCUCCUCAGGGGUUUUGUGGAUUACUGUACCACAUUUAGGUCUUUCAUCCAUUUUGAGUCUAUUUUUGUGUGUGGUAUAAGGAAAUGGUCCACUUUCAUUCUUCUGCAUGUGGCUGUCCAAUUUUCCCAGCACCAUUUGUUGAAGAGGCUGUCUUUUUUCCGUCGGACAUUCUUCCCUGCUUUGUCAAAGAUCAGUUGACCAAAGAGUUCAGGGUCCAUUCCUGGGUUCUCUGUUCUGUUCCAUCGAUCUGUGUGUCUGCUUUGUGCCCGUACCGUGAGAUCUUGAUGAUUACAGAUUUGUAAUAGAGCUUGAACUCCGGAAUUGUGAUGCCUCCGGCUUUAGUUUUCUUUCUGAACAUUCCUCUGGCUAUUCAGGGUCUUUCUGGUUCCAUACAGAUUUAAGGAUUGCUUGUUCCAGCUCUGAAAAAUGCUGAUGGUAUUUUGAUAGGGAUUGUGUUUAAUGUGUACAUUGCUUUGGGUAGUAGAGACAUUUUAAUGAUGUUUGUUCUUCCAAUCCAUGAGCAUGGAAUGUUUUUCCACUUCUUUGUGUCUUUCUCAAUUUCUUUCAUAAGUGUUCUAUAGUUUCUAGAGUACGGAUUUUUUACCUCUUUGGUUAGGUUUAUUCCUAGGCAUUUUAUGGUUUUUGGUGCAGUUGUAAAUGGGAUCGAUUCUUUGAUUUCUCUUUGCUCUGCUACAUUGUUAGUGUAGAGAAAUGCAGCAUUGAUUUUAUGUGCGUUGAUGUGCACAUUAUUUUAUGUGCAUUGAUUUUAUAUCCUGCAAAUUUGCUGAAUUCCUAUAUCAGUUCUAGCAAUUUUGGGGUGAGUCUUUUGGGGUUGCAACAUAGAGUAUCGUGACAUCUGCAAUAAGUAUAAGUUUGACUUCUUUGCCAAUUUUGGAUGCCUCUUAUUUCUUUUUUUUUUUUUUUUUUUGUCUGUUUACUGAGGCUAGGAUUUUCAGUACUAUGUUGAACAACAGUGGUGAGAAUGGACAUCCCUGUCAUGUUCCUGAUCUUAGGAGAAAAGCUCUCAGUUUUCUCCAUAGAGAAUGGUAUUUGCUCUGGGUUUUUCAUAGAUGGCUGUGAUGAUAUUGAGUAUGUAGAUAGAGUACCCUCUAUCCCUACACUGUGAAGAGUUUUGAUCAAGAAAGGACACUGUACUUUGUCAAGUGCUUUUUCUGCUUCUAUUGAGAGGAUCAUAUGGUUCUUGUCCUUUAUUUUAUUAAUGUAGUGUGUCACAUUGAAUGGUUUGCAGAUGUUGAACCACCCUUGCAGCCCACUUGGUCAUGGUGACUAAUCCUUUUAAUGUACUGCUGUAUUCAAUUAGUUUGGAUCUUGGUGAGAAUUUUUGCAUCCAUGUUUAUCAGGGAUAUUGUUCUGUAAUUCUCCUUUUUGGUGGGGUCUCUGGUUUUGGGAUCAAGGUUAUAUUGGCCUCAUAGAACGAGUUUGGAAGUUUUCCUUCCAUUUCCUUUUUUUUUUAAUUUUUAUUUAUUUGAGAGUGAGAGAAAGGGCACAAGCAGGGGGAGUGGCAGGGAGAGGGAGAAGCAUAUGUCCCGCUGAGCAGAGAGCCCAGUGUGGGGGCUUGAUCCCAGGACCCUGAGAUCAUGACCUGAGCUGAAGACAGACGUUUAACCAAUUGAGCCACUCACUUGCCCCUCAUUUCUAUUUUUUGAAACAGUUUCAGAAGAAUAGGUAUUAGUUCUUUUUUUUUUUUAGGACUUUAUUUUAUUUGAGAGAAAGAGAAUGAGAGAGAGUGAGCACUUGAGCACAGGGGUGGAGGGUGAGAGGGAGAAGCAGAAGCAGACUUCCCACUGAGUAGGGAGCCCAAUGCAGGGCUCAGUCCCAGGCCUCUGGGAUCAUAACCUGAGCUGAAGGCAGAUGCUUAACUGACUGAGCUACCCCGGCACCCCAGUAUUAAUUUUCUUUAAACGUUUGGUAGAAUUCCACUGGGAGGCCAUCCAGCUCUGGACUCUUUGUUAGGAGAUUUUUGAUUGCAGAUUUCAAUUCCUUGGCUGGUUAUGGGUGUGUUCGGGUUUUCUGUUUCAGUUUUGGUAGUUUAUGUGUUUCUAGGAAUGCAUCUGUUUCUUCCAGAUUGCCUAAUUUGUUGGCAUACAAUUGCUCAUCAUAUUGUCUUAUAUUUGUAUUUCUUAGGUGUUGUCAUCUCUUCUCUCUCAUUCAUGAUUUUAUUUUUUUUUAAGAUUUUAUUUUAUUUUAUUUAUUUGCCAGAGAGAGAGAGAGAGCACAAGUAGGCAGAGCAGCAGGCAGAGGUAGAGGAAGAAGCAGCCUCUCCACUGAGCAGAGAGCCGGAUGAGGGGAUCAAGUCGCACAAGAUCCAGGACCCUGGGAUCAUGAUCUAAGCCGAAGGCAGAUGUUUAACAGACUGAGCCACCCAGGUGCCCCUCAUUCAUGGUUUUAUUUAUUUGGGUCCUUUCUCUUUUCUUUUUGAUAAGUCUGGCUAGGGAUUUAUCAUGCUAAUUCAAACAACCAGCUUCUAGUUUUGUUGAUCUAUUUUUUUUCGUUUCUCUAUCAUUGAUUUCUGAUCUAAUUUUUAUUAUUUCUCUUCUGCUGGAUUUAGGCUUUAUUUGCUGUUCUUUUUCAGCUCGUUUAGAGGUAAGUUUAGCUUACACCUUUAGCUUACACAUUUGAGCCUUUUCUUGCUUCUUGAGAAAGGCCUGCAUUGCUAUAUACUUCCCCUCCUAAUACCUCUUGUGCUGCUUCCCAGAGGUUUGGAACUAUCGUGUUUUCAUCUUCAUUUGUUUCCAUGUAUUUUUUCAAUUCUUCUUUAAUUUCCUAGUUGACCCAUUCAUUCUUUAGUAGGAGGCUCUUUAGCCUCCAUGUAUUUGUGUUCCUUCCAAAUUUCCUCUUGUGAUUGAGUUCAAGGUUUAAAGCACCUUGAACUUAAAGCCACCUUGUGGCCUGAAAAUAUGCAUGGUAUAAUCUUAGUCUUUUUGUACUGGUUGAGACCUGAUUUGUGACCCAGAAUGUGAUCCAUUUUGGAGAAUGUUCCAUGUGCACUCGAGACGAAUGAGUAUUCUCUUGUUUUAGGAUGGAAUGUACUGAUAUAUCUGUAAAGUCCAUCUGGUCCAGUGUCAUUUAAAGCUGUUGCUGCCUUGCUGUUUAGCAAGGAUCUUCUGUUUAGAUCAUCUCUCCAUUGCUCAGUGGAGUGUGAAAGUCCCUUACUAUUAUUGUAUUAUUAUCAAUGUGUUUCUUUAAUUUUGUUAUUGAUUAGUUUAUAUAUUUGGCUACUCUCAAGUUAGGGGCAGAACUGAGAUCUUCUUAUUGAAUAGACCUUUUUAUUAUGAUAUAGUGUCCUCCUGCAUCUCUUUUUAAGUCUUUGAUUUAAAAUCUGGUUUGUUAGAUAGAAUUGCCACCCCAGCUUUCUUUUGAUAUCCAUUAGCAUGGUAAAUGGUUCUUCACCCCACACUUUUAAUCUGGAGGUGUCUUUGGGUUUAAAAUGAGUCUCUUGUGGACUGAUGGGUCUUAUUUUUUUAAGAUUUUAUUUAUUUAUUUGAGAGAGAGAGCAGGGUGAGGGGGAAGGGCCAGAGCAAGAGGGAGAAGCAGGCUCCCCGCUGAGCAGGGAGCCCAAUGCAGGGCUCAAUCCCAGGACCCAGAGAUCAUGACCUGAGUCAAAGGCAGAUGUUUAAAUAACUGAGCCGCCCAGGUACCCCUGGGUCUUGUUUUUUUUUUUUUUUUAAUCCAAUCUGAUACUCUAUAUGUUUUGAUUGGAGCAUUUAGCUGAUUUACAUUCAGAGUAAUUAUUGAAAGAUAUGAAUUUAGUUCCAUUGUAUUACUGCGAAGUGGCUGUUUCUGUAGAUUUUCUCUGUUCCUGUAGAUUUUCUCUGUUCCUUUCUGGUCUUUGUUACUUUUGGGCUCUCUCUUCACUCAAAGGAUCCCCUUUAAUAUUUCUUACAGGGCUGAUUUAGUGUUCAUGAAUUCCUUUAGUUAUUGUGUGUCCUGGGAACUCUAUUUUGAAUGACAGGCUUGCUGGACAAAGUCUUCUUGGCUGCAUAUUUUUUCCACUCAGCACCCUGAAUAUAUCCUGCCAGUCCCUUCUGGCCUGCCAGGUCUCUGUGUACAGGUUUGCUGCCUGUCUAAUGCUCUUACCCUUGUCAGUUAUAGACCUCCUGUCCCUAGUUGUUUUCAGGACUUUCUAUCUCUGAAAUUUGCACUGUUAUAUGUUGGGGUGUUGACCUAUUUUUAUUGAUUUUGAGGGGGUUUCUGUGUGCCUCCUGGACUUGAAUGCCUGUUUCCUUCCCCAGAUUAGGGAAGUUCUCAACUAUAAUUUUUUUUUAAAGAUUUUAUUUAUUUAUUUGACAGAGAGAGAUCACAGGUAGGCAGAGACACAGGCAGAGAAAGAGAGAGGAGGAAGCAGGCUCCCUGCUGAGCAGAGAGCCCGAUGGCGGGACUCGAUCCCAGGACCCCGAGACCAUGACCCGAGCCGAAGGCAGCGGCUCAACCCACUGAGCCACCCAGGCGCCCCUCAACUAUAAUUUGUUCAAAUAAACCUUCUGCCCCAGUCUUCAUUUCCUGGGACCCCUAUUAUCCAGAUACUAUUUUACGUUUAUGCUAUCGCUGAUUUCUUGAAGUCUCCCUUCAUGAUCCAGUAGUUGCUUUUCUCUUUUUUUCUCACCUACUUUAUUUUCCAUCAUUUUUUCUUCCGUAUCACUCUCUCUUUUGCCCCAUAUUUCCUUGGUGUUAGAGCCUCCCCCCUCCUUUUUUUUUUUAAAAGAUUUUAUUUAUUUAUUUGACACACAGAGAGAGAUCACAAGUAGGCAGAGAGGCAGGCAGAGAGAGAGGGAAGCAGGCUCCCCACUGAGCAGAGAUCCCGAUGCGGGGCUCGAUCCCAGGAUCCUGAGAUCACGACCUGAGCCAAAGGCAGAGGCUCAACCCACUGAGCCACCCAGGUGCCCCAGAGCCUCCCUUUUUGACUGCAUCUCAGUAAGGGCUUUUUAAAUUUCAGCCUGAUUAGAUUUUAGUUAUUUUAUUUCUACCAUAAGGGAUUCUCUAGUGUCUUCUGUGCUGUUUUCAAGCCCCGCUAGUACCUUUAUAAUUGUUGUUUUGAAUUCUAGUUCUGACGUCUUACUUGUAUUUAUAUUGAUUAAAUCCCUGGCAGUGAGUAUUUUCUCCUGUUGUUUAGGGUGAGUUUCUCUGACUUGUCAUUAUGUCCAGAAAAGAACAGAAGGAAGAGAGAAAAGACAAAAAGAAUAACACCACCAGAAAAAAACAAACCAGAAUAAAACACAAACAAAACAAAAUAAGAAAAAGCAAACAAGAAGUAGAACAGAGCAAAACAAUAAACUAGGUCCUGGGUGUAUUUUGAUCUGUUUGUUAAAGGAAAGUAGAUCCCAAAAUGGGAAAAAAAGAAAAACUAAUAAAUGUACAAAAAUAAAAUACAAUGAAAGGAAUCCCCCCAAAAAUACACACACACACACACAACACACACAUACACAGAGACACAUAUAUUAUAAUACAUAUAUAUAAACUAAAAAAUAAUAAAGAAUUGAAAAAAUAAUAGCUUAAAAGAAAAAAAAAUUGAAAGACUAAAGAAUAAUAAGAAAAAACCACGAAUGCUAUAUACUGCUUUCCCUGACAGCUGAAGUCCUGCGGUCUCUGGGAUCAGUAAACCGGUGUUAGCCGGAAGUUCCUGCUGGUGUUCUGGGGGACGGGCCUGUUGCGCUGAUGCUCGGGUGUCCUUGCCUGGGUGGAACUGCGUCCUCCUCGCCAGCGGCCCCGCUCAGUGUAAGUGGCUCCGGAUGGCACUGUGUGCUGCUGUUUGGCUUCCUGCAGGCUUUCAGCAGGCACGGGUGGGGGGUGAAUAUGGCAGCGUCCCGCUCUCUAGCCCUGGAGCUGAGAGCCCGCACCCCCAUUCCUCAGUGUGCUCUCAGAGAAAAGCAGUCGAUCCCUCUUGUCUCCCCGGUUUCCCACCGCACUCUGGUCACCCAGCCUGUGACCGAGCAUUUUUAUCUGAGGCACGUGACCCAGUCUCAAGUCUCCAAACUUGACAGACACGUGUGGCGCAGACCAGCACCGUUCCUCUCAGGGUCCGGAGGGGUGUUGCCGCGCUUCUGCUUUUUGCUGGGCCCCUGCCCAGAGACCGGUCACUCGACUGUGCGGCCGUUCUCAGUUUAUGGUGGCACCAGGCAGAAAGCCAGUGCCUAGAACCAAGGUUUGCCGCCAGCUCCCCGCUCUGAUGCCUGGGAACUCUGCUGCACUCAUGUACCCCUGUUCUUGUGAUCCCGGGGAUCCUGAGACCACACUGUCCCACCUGGGAUUCUACCCUGCUUUGCCACCCAUGCAUCUUUAAGCCAGGAACGUCCCCCACCAUAGCAGACUUCUGCACGGUCUGGUUUUGUGCUCCACUGCUUGUGAUAGUUCGCAGUAGUCUCCUUAAGUAGGCUUCCUCCCCUCUGCCUAUCCCUGAUAUAUUGCCCCAGGUUCACGGCUCAGUACCUCCUGCCUUCUGAAAAGCGGUUGCUUGUCUAGUUGUAGAAUUGCAUUUCUUUUCUCAGAUCUCCAGUUGGUUUUUGCAGGUGUUCAGAAUGAUUUGGUAAUUACCUAGCUGAAUUCCAGGGACCAGAUGAACCCUACUCCUCUGCCAUCUUAACUCACUCCCAACAACAAUACUCAUGGUUUUGUAUGCCUCAGCAUUUCUCCACGUCUGGGAGGUCUGUGAACCUAGUUAUGUAGCCUCCUUCCUGUUUCUCCCUACGCAGCCCUGCCCAUCCUGGAUGGACCUCCAGAGCGUUGUGCUCAGUUAAGUCAGAGAAACAAAUAUGGUAUGACCUUACGUGUGGAAUCUAAAAAAACCAAGAGGUGCUUGGGUGGCUCAGUCACUUAUGGACGACUCUUGAUUUUGGCUCCGGUUCCUGGGAUCAAGCCCUGCAUCAGGCUCUGCACUCAGUGGGGAGUCUGCUUGAGGAUUCUGUCUCCCUCUCCUGCCCCUCUCCAUCUCUCCCACUGAUGCUUGUUUUCUGUCUCUCUCAGAUAAAUCUGCCAAAAAACCCCACAAAACAAGAAACCAAGCUUUAGAUAACAAACGGAUUGGCAUUUGCUAGAGGUGGGGGGAAGUGGGAGAUAUGGGUGAAGAGGGUCAAAAGGUACAAAGUUCUGGUAAUAAAAUAAGUCAUGGGGAUAUAAAGUACAGCAUGAUGACUAGUUAAUACUGUACUGCAUAUCUGAAAGUUGCUAAGAGAGUAGAUCUUAAAGCUCUCAGCACAAGAAAAAAAAUUGUAACUGAUGACUGAUGUUAACUAGACCUACAAUCAUUUUGCAGUGUAUAUGGAUCAUGAUGUUGUAUACCGGAAACUGAUGUUAUAUGUUGGUUAUGCCUCAAUAAAAUCAAUUUUAA
Long non-coding RNA from Mustela lutreola (European mink), 11022 nucleotides. RefSeq lists it as uncharacterized. NCBI's taxonomy places the organism in Eukaryota, Metazoa, Chordata, Mammalia, Carnivora, Mustelidae. The transcript has 5 exons. The record is from RefSeq and is a predicted model, not a curated record.